GUUCUUCUUAAUCAUUACAGGAUCCAGAUACAAGUUGCUCCCAAUUCGACAUGUCAACAGUGUCUCAGAAAUUAACAUACUGUUUUUAUAAACCAAAAGUUACCAACAUUGAUUAUGAAUCGGCAACAGAGUUAACUCUCAAUCAGCGAAAUCUCUCGCCCUUAUUUGUAGGAGAGACGACAAAGUUUUGGUUUUAUUUUGACUGUCAGCACUCACUUGAGGUCGUAAUGAUUGAAACUAAGUCUUCAUUUUCA
Ruditapes philippinarum (Manila clam) is the source of this 254-nucleotide long non-coding RNA. RefSeq lists it as uncharacterized. Lineage: Eukaryota; Metazoa; Mollusca; Bivalvia; Venerida; Veneridae. The transcript is spliced from 4 exons. The record is from RefSeq and is a predicted model, not a curated record.